GACGGACGCUGGCGGCGUGCCUAAUGCAUGCAAGUCGAGCGAGCUACAGUCUUCGGAUUGUAGCUUAGCGGCGAACGGGUGAGUAACACGUAGGUGAUCUACCCUUCAGAGGAGGACAACUUCAGGAAACUGAGGCUAAACCUUCAUACGUUCACUGGUAGGGAUACUGGUGAAGAAAGAGUUACCUUAGUGGUAGCUGCUGAAGGAUGAGCCUGCGGCCCAUCAGGUAGUUGGUGAGGUAACGGCUCACCAAGCCGAAGACGGGUAACCGGUCUGAGAGGAUGUCCGGUCACACUGGGACUGAGACACGGCCCAGACUCCUACGGGAGGCAGCAGCAGGGAAUCUUGGGCAAUGGGCGAAAGCCUGACCCAGCGACGCCGCGUGGAGGAAGAAGUCCUUCGGGGCGUAAACUCCUGGACUGGGGGACGAGGAAGGACGGUACCCCAGUAGAAAGGGACGGCUAACUACGUGCCAGCAGCCGCGGUAAAACGUAGGUCCCGAGCGUUGUUCGGAUUCACUGGGUGUAAAGGGCGCGUAGGUGGUUGUCUGUGUCUCAUGUGAAAACUCAGGGCUCAACUCUGAGAUUGCGUGGGAAACUAGGCAGCUAGAGGACGGUAGAGGGGAGUGGAAUUCCCGGUGUAGCGGUAAAAUGCGUAGAUAUCGGGAGGAACACCGGUGGCGAAGGCGGCUCUCUGGGCCGAUCCUGACGCUGAGGCGCGAAAGCUAGGGGAGCGAACC
This 739-nucleotide ribosomal RNA is filed under the name uncultured Coprothermobacter sp. Its description in RNAcentral is "bacterial SSU rRNA". It matches the Rfam family "Bacterial small subunit ribosomal RNA", at positions 28 to 774 of the family's 1533-position model. Lineage: Bacteria; Pseudomonadati; Coprothermobacterota; Coprothermobacteria; Coprothermobacterales; Coprothermobacteraceae. The record is from RNAcentral.